UACGUAGGGGGCAAGCGUUGUCCGGAAUUAUUGGGCGUAAAGGGCGCGUAGGCGGGGAGGUAAGUCGGGUGUGAAAUCCCUCGGCCCAACCGAGGAACUGCGCCCGAGACUGCUUCUCUUGAGUCCCGGAGAGGAAGAUGGAAUUCCCGGUGUAGCGGUGAAAUGUGUAGAGAUCGGGAGGAACACCGGUGGCGAAGGCGGUCUUCUGGACGGUGACUGACGCUGAGGCGCGAAAGCGUGGGGAGCAAACGGG
RNAcentral lists this ribosomal RNA (253 nucleotides) under uncultured bacterium. RNAcentral describes it as "partial 16S ribosomal RNA". It matches the Rfam family "Bacterial small subunit ribosomal RNA", at positions 524 to 776 of the family's 1533-position model. The record is from RNAcentral.